RNAcentral lists this ribosomal RNA (478 nucleotides) under uncultured bacterium. RNAcentral describes it as "partial 16S ribosomal RNA". It matches the Rfam family "Bacterial small subunit ribosomal RNA", at positions 28 to 507 of the family's 1533-position model. The record is from RNAcentral.
GAUGAACGCUAGCGGCAGGCCUAACACAUGCAAGUCGAGGGAGAAGCCCUUUCGGGGGCAGAAACCGGCGCACGGGUGCGUAACGCGUAUGCAACCUACCUUUCACAGGGGGAUAGCCCGAAGAAAUUUGGAUUAAUACCCCAUAAUAUUAUUGGAUGGCAUCAUUUGAUAAUUAAAACUGCGGUGGUGAAAGAUGGGCAUGCGUCCUAUUAGCUAGUUGGAGUGGUAACGGCACCCCAAGGCUACGAUAGGUAGGGGUCCUGAGAGGGAGAUCCCCCACACUGGUACUGAGACAGGGACCAGACUCCUACGGGAGGCAGCAGUGAGGAAUAGUGGUCAAUGGUCGGAAGACUGAACCAGCCAUGCCGCGUGCAGGAAGAAUGCCUUAUGGGUGGUAAACUGCUUUUAGAUGGGAAGAAUAAGGCGUACGUGUACGUUGAUGACGGUACCAUAUGAAUAAGCAUCGGCUAACUCCGUG